AAUAGAUACCCGGGUAGUCCACGCCGUAAACGGUGGGCACUAGGUGUGGGCGACAUUCCACGUCGUCCGUGCCGCAGCUAACGCAUUAAGUGCCCCGCCUGGGGAGUACGGCCGCAAGGCUAAAACUCAAAGGAAUUGACGGGGGCCCGCGACAAGCGGCGGAGCAUGUGGCUUAAUUCGACGCAACGCGAAGAACCUUACCAAGGCUUGACAUACACCGGAAACGUCCAGAGAUGGGCGCCCCCUUGUGGUCGGUGUACAGGUGGUGCAUGGCUGUCGUCAGCUCGUGUCGUGAGAUGUUGGGUUAAGUCCCGCAACGAGCGCAACCCUUGUCCCGUGUUGCCAGCAGGCCCUUGUGGUGCUGGGGACUCACGGGAGACCGCCGGGGUCAACUCGGAGGAAGGUGGGGACGACGUCAAGGUCAUCAUGCCCCUUAUGUCUUGGGCUGCAAACAUGCUACAAUGGCCGGUACAGAGGGCUGCUAAACCGCGAGGUGGAGCGAAUCCCUAAAAGCCGGUCUCAGUUCGGAUUGGGGUCUGCAAUUCGACCCC
This 551-nucleotide ribosomal RNA is filed under the name uncultured bacterium. RNAcentral describes it as "bacterial SSU rRNA". It matches the Rfam family "Bacterial small subunit ribosomal RNA", at positions 777 to 1319 of the family's 1533-position model. The record is from RNAcentral.